RNAcentral lists this transfer RNA (89 nucleotides) under Nitriliruptorales bacterium. RNAcentral's name for it is "tRNA-Ser". It matches the Rfam family "tRNA". From Rfam's summary of the family: Transfer RNA (tRNA) molecules are approximately 80 nucleotides in length. Their secondary structure includes four short double-helical elements and three loops (D, anti-codon, and T loops). The record is from RNAcentral. Lineage: Bacteria; Bacillati; Actinomycetota; Nitriliruptoria; Nitriliruptorales.
GGUGGAGUCGCAUAGUCCGGCCUAGUGCGCGGCACUCGAAAUGCCGUAGGGGGGCAACCCCCUCGUGGGUUCGAAUCCCACCUCCACCA